GGCUCUUUAGCUCAGCCGGUUAGAGCGACGGAAUCAUAAUCCGCAGGUCCCCUGUUCGAAUCAGGGAAGAGCCACCA
RNAcentral lists this transfer RNA (77 nucleotides) under Macromonas bipunctata. RNAcentral's name for it is "tRNA-Met". It matches the Rfam family "tRNA". From Rfam's summary of the family: Transfer RNA (tRNA) molecules are approximately 80 nucleotides in length. Their secondary structure includes four short double-helical elements and three loops (D, anti-codon, and T loops). Lineage: Bacteria; Pseudomonadati; Pseudomonadota; Betaproteobacteria; Burkholderiales; Comamonadaceae. The record is from RNAcentral. RNAcentral also lists the same sequence under 5 other names.